Molecule: ribosomal RNA, 1175 nt
Filed under: Streptomyces sp. OspMP-M45
Lineage: Bacteria; Bacillati; Actinomycetota; Actinomycetes; Kitasatosporales; Streptomycetaceae
Description: bacterial LSU rRNA
Rfam family: Bacterial large subunit ribosomal RNA
Source: RNAcentral
CAUGAGCUGGGGGUGGCCGCAGAGACCAGCGAGAAGCGACUGUUUACUAAAAACACAGGUCCGUGCGAAGCCGUAAGGCGAUGUAUACGGACUGACGCCUGCCCGGUGCUGGAACGUUAAGGGGACCGGUUAGUGCACUUUCGGGUGUGCGAAGCUGAGAACUUAAGCGCCAGUAAACGGCGGUGGUAACUAUAACCAUCCUAAGGUAGCGAAAUUCCUUGUCGGGUAAGUUCCGACCUGCACGAAUGGCGUAACGACUUCUCGACUGUCUCAACCAUAGGCCCGGUGAAAUUGCACUACGAGUAAAGAUGCUCGUUUCGCGCAGCAGGACGGAAAGACCCCGGGACCUUUACUAUAGUUUGAUAUUGGUGUUCGGUUCGGCUUGUGUAGGAUAGGUGGGAGACUUUGAAGCGGCCACGCCAGUGGUUGUGGAGUCGCCGUUGAAAUACCACUCUGGUCGUGCUGGAUGUCUAACCUGGGUCCGUGAUCCGGAUCAGGGACAGUGUCUGAUGGGUAGUUUAACUGGGGCGGUUGCCUCCUAAAGAGUAACGGAGGCGCCCAAAGGUUCCCUCAGCCUGGUUGGCAAUCAGGUGUUGAGUGUAAGUGCACAAGGGAGCUUGACUGUGAGACCGACGGGUCGAGCAGGGACGAAAGUCGGGACUAGUGAUCCGGCAGUGGCUUGUGGAAGCGCUGUCGCUCAACGGAUAAAAGGUACCCCGGGGAUAACAGGCUGAUCUUCCCCAAGAGUCCAUAUCGACGGGAUGGUUUGGCACCUCGAUGUCGGCUCGUCGCAUCCUGGGGCUGGAGUCGGUCCCAAGGGUUGGGCUGUUCGCCCAUUAAAGCGGUACGCGAGCUGGGUUUAGAACGUCGUGAGACAGUUCGGUCCCUAUCCGCUGUGCGCGUAGGAAUAUUGAGAAGGGCUGUCCCUAGUACGAGAGGACCGGGACGGACGAACCUCUGGUGUGCCAGUUGUUCUGCCAAGGGCAUGGCUGGUUGGCUACGUUCGGAAAGGAUAACCGCUGAAAGCAUCUAAGCGGGAAGCCUGCUUCGAGAUGAGUGUUCCCACCACCUUGAGUGGUUAAGGCUCCCAGUAGACGACUGGGUUGAUAGGCCAGAUGUGGAAGCCCGGUAACGGGUGGAGCUGACUGGUACUAAUAGGCCGAGGGCUUGUCCUC